AGUGAACGCUGGCGGUAGGCCUAACACAUGCAAGUCGAACGGCAGCACAGUAAGAGCUUGCUCUUACGGGUGGCGAGUGGCGGACGGGUGAGGAAUACAUCGGAAUCUACUUUUUCGUGGGGGAUAACGUAGGGAAACUUACGCUAAUACCGCAUACGACCUACGGGUGAAAGCAGGGGAUCUUCGGACCUUUCGCGAUUGAAUGAGCCGAUGUCGGAUUAGCUAGUUGGCGGGGUAAAGGCCCACCAAGGCGACGAUCCGUAGCUGGUCUGAGAGGAUGAUCAGCCACACUGGAACUGAGACGCGGUCCAGACUCCUACGGGAGGCAGCAGUGGGGAAUAUUGGACAAUGGGCGCAAGCCUGAUCCAGCCAUACCGCGUGGGUGAAGAAGGCCUUCGGGUUGUAAAGCCCUUUUGUUGGGAAAGAAAAGCAGCAGGUUAAUACCCCGCUGUUCUGACGGUACCCAAAGAAUAAGCACCGGCUAACUUCGUG
This 492-nucleotide ribosomal RNA is filed under the name uncultured bacterium. Its description in RNAcentral is "partial 16S ribosomal RNA". It matches the Rfam family "Bacterial small subunit ribosomal RNA", at positions 29 to 507 of the family's 1533-position model. The record is from RNAcentral.